GCUAAUGCGGGGGCAGAGGCCGGGGAAAGACGUGGGGGGCGAGCGUUAAUCGGAAUUACUGGGCGUAAAGCGUGCGCAGGCGGUUUUGUAAGACAGAGGUGAAAUCCCCGGGCUCAACCUGGGAACUGCCUUUGUGACUGCAAGGCUAGAGUGCGGCAGAGGGGGAUGGAAUUCCGCGUGUAGCAGUGAAAUACGUAGAUAUGCGGAGGAACACCGAUGGCGAAGGCAAUCCCCUGGGCCUGCACUGACGCUCAUGCACGAAAGCGUGGGGAGCAAACAGGAUUAGAUACCCUAGUAGUC
Molecule: ribosomal RNA, 300 nt
Filed under: uncultured Desulfovibrio sp.
Lineage: Bacteria; Pseudomonadati; Thermodesulfobacteriota; Desulfovibrionia; Desulfovibrionales; Desulfovibrionaceae
Description: bacterial SSU rRNA
Rfam family: Bacterial small subunit ribosomal RNA
Source: RNAcentral